AUUGAACGCUGGCGGCAUGCUUUACACAUGCAAGUCGAACGGCAGCGCGGGCUUCGGCCUGGCGGCGAGUGGCGAACGGGUGAGUAAUACAUCGGAACGUGCCCAGCCGAGGGGGAUAGCUCGGCGAAAGCCGGAUUAAUACCGCAUACGACCAGAGGGUGAAAGCGGGGGAUCUUCGGACCUCGCGCUAUUGGAGCGGCCGAUGGCAGAUUAGCUAGUUGGUGGGGUAAAGGCCUACCAAGGCGACGAUCUGUAGCUGGUCUGAGAGGACGACCAGCCACGCUGGGACUGAGACACGGCCCAGACUCCUACGGGAGGCAGCAGUGGGGAAUUUUGGACAAUGGGCGAAAGCCUGAUCCAGCAAUGCCGCGUGUGUGAUGAAGGCCUUCGGGUUGUAAAGCACUUUUGGCGGGAACGAAAAGGACUGUGCCAAUACCACGGUUCGAUGACGGUACCCGCAGAAUAAGCCCCGGCUAACUACGUG
This 484-nucleotide ribosomal RNA is filed under the name uncultured bacterium. RNAcentral's name for it is "partial 16S ribosomal RNA". It matches the Rfam family "Bacterial small subunit ribosomal RNA", at positions 29 to 507 of the family's 1533-position model. The record is from RNAcentral.